Molecule: ribosomal RNA, 320 nt
Filed under: Bacillus velezensis
Lineage: Bacteria; Bacillati; Bacillota; Bacilli; Caryophanales; Bacillaceae
Description: bacterial LSU rRNA
Rfam family: Bacterial large subunit ribosomal RNA
Source: RNAcentral
GAAGCUGCGGACUGUUCUUCGAACAGUGGUAGGAGAGCGUUCUAAGGGCUGUGAAGCAAGACCGGAAGGACUUGUGGAGCGCUUAGAAGUGAGAAUGCCGGUAUGAGUAGCGAAAGAGGGGUGAGACUCCCCUCCACCGAAUGCCUAAGGUUUCCUGAGGAAGGCUCGUCCGCUCAGGGUUAGUCGGGACCUAAGCCGAGGCCGAAAGGCGUAGGCGAUGGAUAACAGGUUGAUAUUCCUGUACCACCUCCUCACCAUUUGAGCAAUGGGGGGACGCAGGAGGAUAGGGUAAGCGCGGUAUUGGAUAUCCGCGUCCAAGC